Molecule: ribosomal RNA, 1487 nt
Filed under: Kocuria sp. SS14.13
Lineage: Bacteria; Bacillati; Actinomycetota; Actinomycetes; Micrococcales; Micrococcaceae
Description: bacterial SSU rRNA
Rfam family: Bacterial small subunit ribosomal RNA
Source: RNAcentral
AGAGUUUGAUCCUGGCUCAGGACGAACGCUGGCGGCGUGCUUAACACAUGCAAGUCGAACGAUGAUGCCCAGCUUGCUGGGCGGAUUAGUGGCGAACGGGUGAGUAAUACGUGAGUAACCUGCCCUUGACUCUGGGAUAAGCCUGGGAAACUGGGUCUAAUACUGGAUACUACCUCUUGCCGCAUGGUGGGUGGUGGAAAGGGUUUUACUGGUUUUGGAUGGGCUCACGGCCUAUCAGCUUGUUGGUGGGGUAAUGGCUCACCAAGGCGACGACGGGUAGCCGGCCUGAGAGGGUGACCGGCCACACUGGGACUGAGACACGGCCCAGACUCCUACGGGAGGCAGCAGUGGGGAAUAUUGCACAAUGGGCGGAAGCCUGAUGCAGCGACGCCGCGUGAGGGAUGACGGCCUUCGGGCUGUAAACCUCUUUCAGUAGGGAAGAAGCGAGAGUGACGGUACCUGCAGAAGAAGCGCCGGCUAACUACGUGCCAGCAGCCGCGGUAAUACGUAGGGCGCAAGCGUUGUCCGGAAUUAUUGGGCGUAAAGAGCUCGUAGGCGGUUUGUCGCGUCUGCUGUGAAAGCCCGGGGCUCAACCCCGGGUCUGCAGUGGGUACGGGCAGACUAGAGUGCAGUAGGGGAGACUGGAAUUCCUGGUGUAGCGGUGAAAUGCGCAGAUAUCAGGAGGAACACCGAUGGCGAAGGCAGGUCUCUGGGCUGUUACUGACGCUGAGGAGCGAAAGCAUGGGGAGCGAACAGGAUUAGAUACCCUGGUAGUCCAUGCCGUAAACGUUGGGCACUAGGUGUGGGGGACAUUCCACGUUUUCCGCGCCGUAGCUAACGCAUUAAGUGCCCCGCCUGGGGAGUACGGCCGCAAGGCUAAAACUCAAAGGAAUUGACGGGGGCCCGCACAAGCGGCGGAGCAUGCGGAUUAAUUCGAUGCAACGCGAAGAACCUUACCAAGGCUUGACAUUCACCGGACCGCCCCAGAGAUGGGGUUUCCCUUCGGGGCUGGUGGACAGGUGGUGCAUGGUUGUCGUCAGCUCGUGUCGUGAGAUGUUGGGUUAAGUCCCGCAACGAGCGCAACCCUCGUUCUAUGUUGCCAGCACGUGAUGGUGGGGACUCAUAGGAGACUGCCGGGGUCAACUCGGAGGAAGGUGGGGAUGACGUCAAAUCAUCAUGCCCCUUAUGUCUUGGGCUUCACGCAUGCUACAAUGGCCGGUACAAAGGGUUGCGAUACUGUGAGGUGGAGCUAAUCCCAAAAAGCCGGUCUCAGUUCGGAUUGAGGUCUGCAACUCGACCUCAUGAAGUCGGAGUCGCUAGUAAUCGCAGAUCAGCAACGCUGCGGUGAAUACGUUCCCGGGCCUUGUACACACCGCCCGUCAAGUCACGAAAGUUGGUAACACCCGAAGCCGGUGGCCUAACCCCUUGUGGGAGGGAGCCGUCGAAGGUGGGACUGGCGAUUGGGACUAAGUCGUAACAAGGUAACC